Long non-coding RNA from Rhododendron vialii, 908 nucleotides. RefSeq lists it as uncharacterized. The transcript is spliced from 3 exons. NCBI's taxonomy places the organism in Eukaryota, Viridiplantae, Streptophyta, Magnoliopsida, Ericales, Ericaceae. The record is from RefSeq and is a predicted model, not a curated record.
UUUGAGAACAAAUAGGAUGCGAAAUUUGAACUUUGUUGCUGGAAAAUGAAUUUUGAGUUACUGAAAUUGUGAUUAAGUGCUGGAAAUGUAGUUUUAAGAUUAAAAAAGCCCAGUGUAAGUGCUCGAAUUGGGUGCUGAGAGCUGGUAUGUGCUGAGAUUGAGAUACAGAUGCUGAAAUUACAUUCUUGAAUGCAGAAACUAAGAGUGUAAGUGCAUAAAUUGAAAUUUUAAGUUGGAUUUUGUGUUUUAAGUGGUGGAACAAUAAAAUUAAGAACCUUAGCUUGACUAUUGUGUUACAAAGGGGAUUGUGUGUUUGGUUUUGGUGAUACCGAGUGGUCCGAGUGAUAUAAAGAUAUCCGGGUGCUUUAUAGUUUACAGAAUCUUUGUGCAUUACAAUCUCUGUUGUGUACAUGAAUCUCAUUUAGAAGAACACCCAAUGUUUUGGAUGGCUAGUUAAAAUGGGCAGGGUAAAAAAUGCAGGAAAGACCAAAAGGUUUUCCCUUUGCGGAAUAUGAGACUGAAGAGAUUGCAGACUAUGCUGUCGGGCUUUUCUCUGGCUUGUGACUCUUUACAACAGGACAUUGAAAUUUGCAUUGACGGAUGGGGAAUGCUUCAAUAAGGGUCCCUCUUCCCCCACCUCGUUACAGUGCAGCUUCUACCGGCAAUAGCUCAAAACUAUACAACUUAAGCACUUUUCAGCAAAAUACCCCUCCCUACCCUGGAUACAGCAAUUAAGACUGCUCCAUCUUCAAGUUUUGAUCAGUGGAGUAUCCCACAAUCCUGCUUUGGGUUACAGAGUAUGAAGAUCAACAUUAGAUUUUGGUUGUGGAUUCUACGUGCAGCGAGUUGAAUUUUUUGUUUGGAUACAUUUUGUUUAAUAUUACAUGGUUCGUAUACUGUUGUUUCGA